RNAcentral lists this ribosomal RNA (253 nucleotides) under uncultured bacterium. RNAcentral describes it as "partial 16S ribosomal RNA". It matches the Rfam family "Bacterial small subunit ribosomal RNA", at positions 524 to 776 of the family's 1533-position model. The record is from RNAcentral.
UACGAAGGGGGCUAGCGUUGCUCGGAAUCACUGGGCGUAAAGCGCACGUAGGCGGCUUUUUAAGUCAGGGGUGAAAUCCUGGAGCUCAACUCCAGAACUGCCUUUGAUACUGAGAAGCUUGAGUCCGGGAGAGGUGAGUGGAACUGCGAGUGUAGAGGUGAAAUUCGUAGAUAUUCGCAAGAACACCAGUGGCGAAGGCGGCGCACUGGCCCGGUACUGACGCUGAGACGCGAAAGCGUGGGGAGCAAACAGG